This 498-nucleotide ribosomal RNA is filed under the name uncultured bacterium. Its description in RNAcentral is "partial 16S ribosomal RNA". It matches the Rfam family "Bacterial small subunit ribosomal RNA", at positions 28 to 506 of the family's 1533-position model. The record is from RNAcentral.
GACGAACGCUGGCGGCGUGCCUAAUACAUGCAAGUCGAGCGAAGUUUUUCUGGUGCUUGCACUAGAAAAACUUAGCGGCGAACGGGUGAGUAACACGUAAAGAACCUGCCUCAUAGACUGGGACAACUAUUGGAAACGAUAGCUAAUACCGGAUAACAGUAUUUCUCGCAUGAGAGAUAUUUAAAAGUUGGUUAUGCUAACACUAUGAGAUGGCUUUGCGGUGCAUUAGCUAGUUGGUGGGGUAAAGGCCCACCAAGGCGACGAUGCAUAGCCGACCUGAGAGGGUGAUCGGCCACACUGGGACUGAGACACGGCCCAGACUCCUACGGGAGGCAGCAGUAGGGAAUCCUCCGCAAUGGGCGAAAGCCUGACGGAGCAACGCCGCGUGAGUGAAGAAGGAUUUCGGUUCGUAAAGCUCUGUUGUUAGGGAAGAAUGGAUAUGUAGUAACUAUACAUGUAAGAGACGGUACCUAACCAGAAAGCCACGGCUAACUACGU